Molecule: ribosomal RNA, 540 nt
Filed under: Triticum aestivum (bread wheat)
Lineage: Eukaryota; Viridiplantae; Streptophyta; Magnoliopsida; Poales; Poaceae
Description: partial small subunit ribosomal RNA
Source: RNAcentral
AUGGUUAAUGGCAGCAGCAGCAACAUUCAGUCGUACUUCAAAAGACAAAGGACAGAUCAACAAGAUGCAGUAGCAGAAGAUCCUCCACCAGCGCAACCUUUACCUCUGCUUCUUGAAUUGGAACAACAACAUGAAAAUCAAGAUGAAGAGCCUCAAACAAAUAAUCCAGUUCCUCUUCCUGUUGUGUUGCGAGGUAUGGAAUUCUUGGAGGGAGAUCCUGCAUUGCAACCACAAAUUUGGCAAUACCCACCAAAUCAAAGAGAUAGCGUGCGGACAUCAUAUUUGUUGCUAGGUCCUAUGCAACCAAAACUGAAGGAGUAUAAAGCUUCUGGUAAAAAGGGCCAUCAGGGUUGCUUCCAAUAUAAGUGGUUUGAAAAAUUCCCAUCAUGGCUAGAGUACUCAGAGGAUAGUCAUCGUGCAUAUUGUUUAUUUUGCUUCGUUUCUAGCAGAAAUUUCUCAUCAAAAGGAGACUCUGAUGUAUUCACAGUGCAUGGUUUUGAUAACUGGAAGAAGGUAAAUGUUUUGAGUUACGAUUUUUAG